This 441-nucleotide ribosomal RNA is filed under the name uncultured bacterium. Its description in RNAcentral is "partial 16S ribosomal RNA". It matches the Rfam family "Bacterial small subunit ribosomal RNA", at positions 338 to 795 of the family's 1533-position model. The record is from RNAcentral.
CCUACGGGGGGCAGCAGUCGGGAAUAUUGCGCAAUGGAGGAAACUCUGACGCAGUGACGCCGCGUGCAGGAAGAAGGUUUUCGGAUUGUAAACUGCUUUAGACAGGGAAGAAAAAAGACAGUACCUGUAGAAUAAGCUCCGGCUAACUACGUGCCAGCAGCCGCGGUAAUACGUAGGGAGCAAGCGUUAUCCGGAUUUAUUGGGUGUAAAGGGUGCGUAGACGGAGAAGCAAGUUAGUUGUGAAAUCCCUCGGCUUAACUGAGGAACUGCAACUAAAACUACUUCCCUUGAGUACUGGAGAGGAAAGUGGAAUUCUUGGUGUAGGGGUAAAAUCCGUAGAGAUCAAGAGGAAUACUCAUUGCGAAGGCGACCUGCUGGAACAUUACUGACGCUGAUGCACGAAAGCGUGGGGAGCAAACAGGAUUAGAUACCCUUGUAGUC